Molecule: transfer RNA, 73 nt
Filed under: Chelonia mydas (Green sea turtle)
Lineage: Eukaryota; Metazoa; Chordata; Testudines; Cheloniidae
Rfam family: tRNA
About the family: Transfer RNA (tRNA) molecules are approximately 80 nucleotides in length. Their secondary structure includes four short double-helical elements and three loops (D, anti-codon, and T loops).
Source: Rfam by way of RNAcentral
GGCAGUGUUGUCUAGUGGAUAGGGCACUCAUCUGGGACACAGGAGGGCCUGGGUUCUAGUCCCAGCUCUGCCA